RNAcentral lists this ribosomal RNA (520 nucleotides) under Premnotrypes latithorax. RNAcentral describes it as "partial 16S ribosomal RNA". The stretch from base 387 to 520 matches the Rfam family "Bacterial large subunit ribosomal RNA", at positions 2473 to 2606 of the family's 2925-position model. The record is from RNAcentral. Lineage: Eukaryota; Metazoa; Arthropoda; Insecta; Coleoptera; Curculionidae.
AUGGCCUUUUGAGUAUGAUUUAAGGUCUAACCUGCCCAAUGAAAAUUUAAAUGGCCGCGGUAUUUUGACCGUGCAAAGGUAGCAUAAUCAUUAGUUUUUUAAUUGAAAGCUGGAAUGAAAGGUUGAAUGAGAAAAUAACUGUCUCUAUUUAAAUUAUUUAGAAUUUUAUUUUUAAGUUAAAAAGCUUAAAUUUAAAUAAAAGACGAGAAGACCCUAUAGAGUUUUAUUUUUUUUUGUAUAAUAAUUUUUGGUAUUUAUUUUUUUAUUAUAUAAAAAUUAAUUUAGUUGGGGUGAUUGAAAAAUUUAAUAAACUUUUUUUAUUUUUAAACAUUUAUUUAUGAUUAUUUGAUCCUUUAUUUAAGAUUAAAAGAUUAAAUUACCUUAGGGAUAACAGCGUAAUUUUUUUAGAGAGUUCUAAUCGAAAAAAAAGAUUGCGACCUCGAUGUUGGAUUAAAAUAAAAUUUUGGUGUAGAAGCUAAAAAAUUUGGGUCUGUUCGACCCUUGAAAUUUUACUUGAUCU